Molecule: long non-coding RNA, 171 nt
Organism: Eptesicus fuscus (big brown bat)
Lineage: Eukaryota; Metazoa; Chordata; Mammalia; Chiroptera; Vespertilionidae
Exons: 3
Source: RefSeq, a predicted model, not a curated record
CUGUGAAGCAGGUCUCACAGAGUAACGAGGUACUUAGAAGAAAUGAUGGCCAAUAUGUUUCCACAAGCAAAAUCUGGACAGGAAAUUGCACCCAAGUUUAAAUGCCCUGAGCAAACUUACAGAGCUGGUACAUGGAAACGCUAUCCAUGAGUCUGAAGGGACCAAGCUGUG